CCCUUAGAUGUUCUGGGCCGCACGCGCGCUACACUGAUACGUUCAACAAGUUUAGAACCUUGACUGAGAGGUCUGGGUAAUCUUUUGAAUGCGUAUCGUGUUAGGGAUAGAUUAUUGCAAUUAUUAAUCUUGAACGAGGAAUUCCUAGUAAACGCAAGUCAUCAGCUUGCAUUGAUUACGUCCCUGCCCUUUGUACACACCGCCCGUCGCUCCUACCGAUGAGUCGUCCGGUGAAGUUCGUAGACCUCGUGAUCGCGGAUCACUGGGGGAAGCAAAAUGAACCUCGCGGUUUAGAGGAAGGAGAAGUCGUAACA
RNAcentral lists this ribosomal RNA (314 nucleotides) under uncultured eukaryote. Its description in RNAcentral is "partial 18S ribosomal RNA". It matches the Rfam family "Eukaryotic small subunit ribosomal RNA", at positions 1470 to 1796 of the family's 1831-position model. The record is from RNAcentral.